Non-coding RNA from Drosophila suzukii, 479 nucleotides. NCBI's taxonomy places the organism in Eukaryota, Metazoa, Arthropoda, Insecta, Diptera, Drosophilidae. The record is from RefSeq and is a predicted model, not a curated record.
UUAAAGUACUGUUCUAAAAAAAUAUAAAAAUGGUAACUUAUUUCUAUAAUCUUUCCAGAUGACAUAAAAAAGCUUUCGAUGUUGCAUUAAAACAGACCUACUGUGAAAUUAAGUUAAACAGAAUUACUCAAAGUUAAAAUCACCGCAGAAUAUUACAAUUGUUUGAAAAGUUAAUAUAAAAAAAAAAUUAUGUGAGUAAAGGCGCAUCCAUCAUGGGAACCAGACACCACUGUGUCCAUCUGGGUUACGGGUAGCAUCCCUGAUGGCAGCUCAACCACUGGACACGUUAGCAGCGUGAACAUGCGGGAUCCGAAAAUAUUUUCGUUUGCUUUCGCUGGUUAUUUAUAUGCAAGUCAGGUCCUGGGCGGACGUAAUGGCGUCAGGAGCGCUUCCCGGGCCCAUCAUCGCAUCAAUCGCCUGGCUGGCCACUAAUGGAAAACCCAGCGACCACCGGGCCAAAUGGCAGGGCAGAAGAGCCA